Molecule: ribosomal RNA, 253 nt
Filed under: uncultured bacterium
Lineage: Bacteria
Description: partial 16S ribosomal RNA
Rfam family: Bacterial small subunit ribosomal RNA
Source: RNAcentral
UACGAAGGGGGCUAGCGUUGCUCGGAAUCACUGGGCGUAAAGCGCACGUAGGCGGAUUGUUAAGUCAGGGGUGAAAUCCUGGAGCUCAACUCCAGAACUGCCUAUGAUACUGGCGAUCUUGAGUCCGGGAGAGGUGAGUGGAACUGCGAGUGUAGAGGUGAAAUUCGUAGAUAUUCGCAAGAACACCAGUGGCGAAGGCGGCUCACUGGCCCGGAACUGACGCUGAGACGCGAAAGCGUGGGGAGCAAACAGG